UCGGUGGAGGGAGAACGAGGGCCCGGAGGAACGGAGACGGCUAGCGGCGCGACGACGAUGAGUGGGAGGUGCUUCACCGAGCCGUCCCGUUACAUUAUCUGCUGUUAGUCAGUCAGUCGUGCCAGUGAUCCGGACGCGGUAAAAACGAGAAACUUGCGUAGCCGUGGAUUCGGAAAUAUAUCGUUGCUCCUACGAGAAACAGCCAGCCGGUCACGGUGGAAACCGUCGCCAGCCGUCCCCCCGCGAUAUAGUUCUCCACGCGUCUACGGUUCUCCACGGGCUUUCCAUUCUCCACGUUGGAAACUACCGUUUCCAGUUACCGACCGCCGCCAAACCUUUUACCGUGUUUGUGCGAAAAGUGUGCGCUAACGUUACUCGACGUUGACUCGGUUAGCCGGUAGCCGAUCCGGAGAACGAGCAGAGCCCCCUCGAUCGAACGCUCGUGACCGGUAGCGUUUCCACCGAUAGGAAGUCUUGGAUUCGAGAGGGCGGGGGGCGGCGACCAGGGCGGUGGAAUUGGAAAAAAAAGAUAUCGCGAUAGAAAAAUCGUUGACGAAGAUCCAUCGAUCGUACGUAACGAUCGACGUGGUCGUCGUCGUGGUGGUGGUCGUCGUGGUGGUGGUCGUCGUGGUGGUCGUCGGCACGUCGACUCGCGCGAUCGCGCGGAUCGUGCACUCGCGCGCGCGCGCGCGAGUAUCGGAUAGUCACGAUGAAGUGAACGGAUAACGCGGCCGGACGUUCCGCGGCUCUCGACAGUCGUGGCAGUGAAAGUACGUCACCCGGAGCUGUCUCCUCUCAUUCCAGAUUCUUUCUACUUCGGUCCCGAUCCGAGCCAGGCUUCCUCGUUGCCGAAGAGAUCGCGCGACGCGGUCAUGUCUCUCGUUUGAGAUAUCCAGUUAAUCGCAGCGAACAGUGACCGUGACAAAAGUGGCAGCCGAGUGUCUUUGCUCUCUUCUUCUUCCUUCCGCGCUAUCGUUUCGUUUUUUCCUCUCUUUCUCCUUGCCGCUGAUUCACCCACUCUUGGCCGACUGUUGGCCGAUUGUUCAUCGAGUCUCGCUAAGGAGAUCGAUACCGAUCGAGAUACCAUCACCAGUCGACAACGAUGACCGUGAUCAUGGAGGAAACGAACACCUUCGUUACGUGGCCGUCACGUCUGAAGAUCGGAGCAAAGUCGAAGAAAGAUCCGCAUAUAAAGGUCGCGGGUCGACCGGAUGACGUGCGAGCAGCGAAGGAGAAGAUAAUGGAAAUUUUGGACACG
Eufriesea mexicana is the source of this 1258-nucleotide long non-coding RNA. RefSeq lists it as uncharacterized. The record is from RefSeq and is a predicted model, not a curated record. The transcript is spliced from 3 exons. NCBI's taxonomy places the organism in Eukaryota, Metazoa, Arthropoda, Insecta, Hymenoptera, Apidae.